Molecule: unclassified non-coding RNA, 288 nt
Filed under: uncultured fungus
Lineage: Eukaryota; Fungi
Description: partial contains 5.8S rRNA, ITS2 and 28S rRNA
Rfam family: Eukaryotic large subunit ribosomal RNA
Source: RNAcentral
AGGAGUCUAACAUAUCUGCGAGUAUUUGGGUGUCAAACCCGAGUGCGCAAUGAAAGUGAACGUAGGAGCCACGCGCAAGCUGCAGCUUCGACCGAUCUGGAUCUUUAGUGAUGGAUUUGAGUAAGAGCAUAUAUGUUGGGACCCGAAAGAUGGUGAACUAUGCCUGAAUAGGGCGAAGCCAGAGGAAACUCUGGUGGAGGCUCGUAGCGAUUCUGUCGUGCAAAUCGAUCGUCAAAUUUGGGUAUAGGGGCGAAAGCCUAAUCGAGCCAUCUAGUAGCUGAGUCCUGC